This 383-nucleotide ribosomal RNA is filed under the name uncultured eukaryote. Its description in RNAcentral is "partial 18S ribosomal RNA". It matches the Rfam family "Eukaryotic small subunit ribosomal RNA", at positions 592 to 976 of the family's 1831-position model. The record is from RNAcentral.
CAAUAGCGUAUAUUAAAGUUGUUGCAGUUAAAAAGCUCGUAGUUGGAUUUCUGGUGGGAGCGAUCGGUCUGGCGCUUAGCGCGAGUACUUGCAUCGUCUCCGGCCAUCCUUGGGGAGAGUCUGUCUGGCAUUAAGUUGUCGGGCAGAGGAUCCUCAUCGUUUACUGUGACAAAAUUAGAGUGUUCAAAGCAGGCUUAUGCCGUUGAAUAUAUUAGCAUGGAAUAAUAAGAUAGGACUUUGGUACUAUUUUGUUGGUUUGCGCACCAAAGUAAUGAUUAAUAGGGACAGUUGGGGGUAUUCGUAUUCCGUUGUCAGAGGUGAAAUUCUUGGAUUUACGGAAGACGAACUACUGCGAAAGCAUUUACCAAGGAUGUUUUCAUUAA